GACGAACGCUGGCGGCGUGCCUAAUACAUGCAAGUAGAACGCUGAAGGAGGAGCUUGCUUCUCUGGAUGAGUUGCGAACGGGUGAGUAACGCGUAGGUAACCUGCCUGGUAGCGGGGGAUAACUAUUGGAGACGAUAGCUAAUACCGCAUAAUAGUAGAUGUUGCAUGACAUUUGCUUAAAAGGUGCAAUUGCAUCACUACCAGAUGGACCUGCGUUGUAUUAGCUAGUUGGUGGGGUAACGGCUCACCAAGGCGACGAUACAUAGCCGACCUGAGAGGGUGAUCGGCCACACUGGGACUGAGACACGGCCCAGACUCCUACGGGAGGCAGCAGUAGGGAAUCUUCGGCAAUGGACGGAAGUCUGACCGAGCAACGCCGCGUGAGUGAAGAAGGUUUUCGGAUCGUAAAGCUCUGUUGUAAGAGAAGAACGAGUGUGAGAGUGGAAAGUUCACACUGUGACGGUAUCUUACCAGAAAGGGACGGCUAACUACGUG
This 495-nucleotide ribosomal RNA is filed under the name uncultured bacterium. RNAcentral describes it as "partial 16S ribosomal RNA". It matches the Rfam family "Bacterial small subunit ribosomal RNA", at positions 28 to 507 of the family's 1533-position model. The record is from RNAcentral.